RNAcentral lists this small RNA (189 nucleotides) under compost metagenome. RNAcentral's name for it is "Compost metagenome Manganese sequence". It matches the Rfam family "Manganese Mn2+ riboswitch aptamer (yybP-ykoY)". Rfam says of the family: This RNA was originally discovered in E. coli during a large scale screen and was named SraF. The family was later found to exist upstream of related families of protein genes in many bacteria, including the the yybP and ykoK genes in B. subtilis. The record is from Rfam by way of RNAcentral.
CGUGUAUGCUCCCGCCCCGUCAUUGGGGAGUAACCUCCUGCGGCGUUACGCCGCCGGGCUUACAUCAACACACUUGGCCGGUUGGGCCAUGGUGUAAGCGGCUUCAGUGCUUGGUGAGACCUUUGAUCAUGUCGUUCCGGUAUGGGCCGCGGACGGCGUGGUCAAUUGUGUCCUCCGGCCCUGAACGCU